This is a non-coding RNA of Acanthosepion pharaonis, 103 nucleotides long. The record is from the annotation of a GenBank genome assembly. NCBI's taxonomy places the organism in Eukaryota, Metazoa, Mollusca, Cephalopoda, Sepiida, Sepiidae.
CAUCGUUGAAACAUCAGUUCUUGUAUAAUCACCAAAGUUAAGCAAUGUUGAGCUUGGUUAGUGCCUAGAUGGGUGACCGCUCGGGAAUACUUGGUGCUGUAAG